Non-coding RNA from Nomascus leucogenys (northern white-cheeked gibbon), 730 nucleotides. The record is from the annotation of a RefSeq genome assembly. NCBI's taxonomy places the organism in Eukaryota, Metazoa, Chordata, Mammalia, Primates, Hylobatidae.
AGUCCCAGUCAGGACACAGCAUGGACAUGAGGGUCCCCGCUCAGCUCCUGGGGCUCCUGCUGCUCUGGCUCCCAGGUGCCAGGUGUGACAUCCAGAUGACCCAGUCUCCAUCCUCCCUGUCUGCAUCUGUAGGAGACAGCGUCACCAUCACGUGCAGAGCCAGUCAGGGUAUUAGCAACUGGUUAGCCUGGUAUCAGCAGAAACCAGGGAAAGCCCCUAAGCUCCUGAUCUAUAAGGCAUCCAGUCUGCAAAGUGGGAUUCCCUCUCGGUUCAGUGGCAGUGGAUCUGGGACAACUUACACUCUCACCAUCAGCAGCCUGCAGCCUGAAGAUUUUGCAACUUAUUACUGUCAACAGAGUUACAGUACCCCUCCCACAGUGUUACAAGUCAUAACAUAAACCCCCAAGGAAGCAGAUGUGUGAGGCUGGGCUGCCCCAGUGCUCCUUCUGGUGCCUCCAUCUGCUGAGGGAAGUUCUCAAACUCAGUCAGGUUUGGAAAGGCAUUGGGAGAUUUUCCUAGAGGAGGCCAGGGAGGUCCCUCUGAACCCUUAGCCUCUUUCCCCCUCAUCCCCAGCAGAAAAGACUUGACAGUGCCUGUCCUGGCAGAAUAAAGAAGAGAGAGAAGUCCAACUGAGGAGUCUGUGUUAUGGGAUAAUUGGAGUUUGUACAGCAAAAGAGAAGCUAUUCUCAGUAUUUCAAGGAGAAAUUAUUCAAGUUGAAUAAAUUAGAGU